UACGGAGAUGCAAGCGUUAUCCGGAUUCAUUGGGUUUAAAGGGUGCGUAGGCGGGCUAUUAAGUCAGUGGUGAAAUCCUGCAGCUUAACUGCAGAACUGCCGUUGAUACUGAUAGUCUUGAGUUUGGUUAAGGUAGGCGGAAUGUGUAAUGUAGUGGUGAAAUGCUUAGAUAUUACACAGAACACCAAUUGCGUAGGCAGCUUACUGAGCCGACACUGACGCUGAGGCACGAAAGCGUGGGGAUCGAACAGGA
Molecule: ribosomal RNA, 253 nt
Filed under: uncultured prokaryote
Description: partial 16S ribosomal RNA
Rfam family: Bacterial small subunit ribosomal RNA
Source: RNAcentral